This 85-nucleotide transfer RNA is filed under the name Felis catus (domestic cat). It matches the Rfam family "tRNA". Rfam says of the family: Transfer RNA (tRNA) molecules are approximately 80 nucleotides in length. Their secondary structure includes four short double-helical elements and three loops (D, anti-codon, and T loops). The record is from Rfam by way of RNAcentral. RNAcentral also lists the same sequence under 1 other name. Lineage: Eukaryota; Metazoa; Chordata; Mammalia; Carnivora; Felidae.
GCCUGGGUGGCUCAGUCGGUUAAGCACCUGACUUGGGCUCAGGUCAUGAUCUCGCAGUUUGUGAGUUUGAGCCCCGCGUCAGGCU